GCAACCAUCUCGCGGCUGGUAUUGUCACCCCUUGCUGGCGAGGCUGACCUCUCCAGCGCGGGGGCAUGGUGCCCCGCACAGCGCGCUGCCUGGGGAAGCCUUUUCAAAGUUCCUCUGGAGGCAUUCGCUGCUAGACUGUGCUCUGUAGUCUGGCUAUGCAUUAAAUACAGGAACAGCAGCUGGAAGAAUAGAGGCAGAAGAGGGAACCUGAGAUUCCCGUCUGCAGAGAGCACCGUAAGGUCCCACGUGUCCGCCGGCUGCCCUGUCCCCGUCCCACGUGGGGCUGGUCCCUUCUGGGAUUUGACCCGUCUGUGCGUUGAAAAGCUCAUUUCCCAGCUGUGCGUGCAUGUCCUCGUUUCAGGUUGCAUCUCACAAUGACCAUUAUGCCAGGGGCUGAACUGGGUGACUCGAAACCAACUCUGUGCUCCUGCUGGUAACAAGAAUGUGCAGGCAUUUGAACUGGUGUGACCAGAGCAGAGUGAUGCUGUGGGUGGCAUCGCUGCGUGGGCACCGCUGCGUGAGCAUCGCUUUGCUUUCUCCAUCCCUCCAGCAUGCCUCUGAUACGAGAUGCUUGUCAGGCAGUGAAGGUGCAAUGGUCUGGAAGAUCUCUGCAUCACAAGUGUGAUAUGGAUGUACGUUCCUUUUCACCAGUGUUUGGCAUUAAAUGGAUAAGGCAGUGUGAGAAUAUAAUAAAAAAUCUUGUUGGUAUACUAAAUGGAAUUUUCUCCUUGGA
Long non-coding RNA from Chroicocephalus ridibundus (black-headed gull), 733 nucleotides. RefSeq lists it as uncharacterized. NCBI's taxonomy places the organism in Eukaryota, Metazoa, Chordata, Aves, Charadriiformes, Laridae. The transcript is spliced from 4 exons. The record is from RefSeq and is a predicted model, not a curated record.